Pelobates cultripes (western spadefoot toad) is the source of this 313-nucleotide non-coding RNA. Lineage: Eukaryota; Metazoa; Chordata; Amphibia; Anura; Pelobatidae. The record is from the annotation of a GenBank genome assembly.
CUGCAAUAUCAGUAACAAAAUCCAUUAUUACUCACCAGACAAGAUGAUCUUUAAUGCACGACACCGUCUGCCUUUACUCGUACAGCUGCGCACUGUGGAUUUGCUUCUGGAAACUUGCCAAUCUCUGCCAUGUGCUUGCUUCUAGAUUUCACGUUGUAUCUUGUGCUGCUUUCUUUAUAACACGUGCUUUUGUCUGUUGUAGAAUAUAAUCUUGGAACAGUCUUUGUGAUUUGAAAAUCUUUGUCUUCUGAUAAGCACACACGGCUCUUAACACAGCUUUUAACACGUUCUUUUUUUCUGUUUCUGGCUGCAC